ACUCCUACGGGAGGCAGCAGUGGGGAAUAUUGCACAAUGGGCGCAAGCCUGAUGCAGCCAUGCCGCGUGUGGUUGGAAGAAGGCCUUCGGGUUGUAAAGCACUUUCAGUCGUGAGGAAGGUAGUGAGUUAAUAGCUGCAUAUUUGACGUUAGCGACNGAAGAAGCACCGGGCUAACUCCGUGCCAGCAGCCGCGGUAAUACGGAGGGUGCGAGCGUUAAUCGGAAUUACUGGGCGUAAAGCGCAUGCAGGUGGUUUGUUAAGUCAGAUGUGAAAGCCCGGGGCUCAACCUCGGAAUUGCAUUUGAAACUGGCGACUAGAGUACUGUAGAGGGGGGUAGAAUUUCAGGUGUAGCGGUGAAAUGCGUAGAGAUCUGAAGGAAUACCGGUGGCGAAGGCGGCCCCCUGGACAGAUACUGACACUCAGAUGCGAAAGCGUGGGGAGCAAACAGGAUUAGAUACCCUGGUAGCUACGAGU
RNAcentral lists this ribosomal RNA (475 nucleotides) under uncultured bacterium. Its description in RNAcentral is "bacterial SSU rRNA". It matches the Rfam family "Bacterial small subunit ribosomal RNA", at positions 335 to 802 of the family's 1533-position model. The record is from RNAcentral.